GGAAGAAUGGUCGAGUGGUUUAAGGCAGCGGUCUUGAAAACCGCCGUAGCGCAAGCUACCCUGGGUUCGAAUCCCAGUUCUUCCGCCA
This 88-nucleotide transfer RNA is filed under the name Lentisphaerota bacterium. Its description in RNAcentral is "Lentisphaerae bacterium (feces metagenome) tRNA-Ser". It matches the Rfam family "tRNA". Rfam says of the family: Transfer RNA (tRNA) molecules are approximately 80 nucleotides in length. Their secondary structure includes four short double-helical elements and three loops (D, anti-codon, and T loops). Further hydrogen bonds mediate the characteristic L-shaped molecular structure. tRNAs have two regions of fundamental functional importance: the anti-codon, which is responsible for specific mRNA codon recognition, and the 3' end, to which the tRNAs corresponding amino acid is attached (by aminoacyl-tRNA synthetases). tRNAs cope with the degeneracy of the genetic code in two manners: having more than one tRNA (with a specific anti-codon) for a particular amino acid; and 'wobble' base-pairing, i.e. permitting non-standard base-pairing at the 3rd anti-codon position. Lineage: Bacteria; Pseudomonadati; Lentisphaerota. The record is from RNAcentral.